RNAcentral lists this ribosomal RNA (253 nucleotides) under uncultured bacterium. RNAcentral describes it as "partial 16S ribosomal RNA". It matches the Rfam family "Bacterial small subunit ribosomal RNA", at positions 524 to 776 of the family's 1533-position model. The record is from RNAcentral.
UACGUAGGGGGCAAGCGUUAUCCGGAUUUACUGGGUAUAAAGGGAGCGUAGACGGCUUUGCAAGCCAGAUGUGAAAGCCCGGGGCUCAACCUCGGGACUGCAUUUGGAACUGUAUGGCUGGAUUGUCGGAGAGGCAGGCGGAAUUCCUAGUGUAGCGGUGAAAUGCGUAGAUAUUAGGAGGAACACCAGUGGCGAAGGCGGCCUGCUGGACGAUGACUGACGUUGAGGCUCGAAAGCGUGGGGAGCAAACAGG